CUCUGGGUGAAGGUCCUAGAGGGAAAGCUACACGAGGAGCGGCUGAAGUUUGUUCAGCCUUGAUGAGACUGAGGUCAGAGCUGCUGCCAGCAGUUCUGCAGCUUCCUCACGAGGGGAAGAGGAGGGGCAGGCACUGAUCUCUGCUCUCUGUGACCAGGGACAGGACUCAGGGAACGGCUGGAGCUGUGUCAGGGGAGGGUUAGGGUGGAUUUUAGGAAAAAGUUCUUCCCCUAGUGGGUGGUGGGGCACUGAACAGGCUCCCCAGGGAAGUGAUCACAACAUCGAGCCUGCCAGAGCUCCAGAAAUGUUUGGACAACRCUCGCAGGCAGAUGGUGGGAUUGUUGGGGUGUCUGUGCGGGSCCAGGAGUUGGGCUGGAUGAUCCUUGUGGAUCCCUUUCAAUUCCAGACAUUCUGUGAUUCUAUAAUAACAGUGUCCCCCUCGGGUUUGGACACAGUGCACSGUUGCUUUGCCUUUGGAGUUCACCUGGCCCGCCAGCUUGGUGUGUGGACCAGCUUAAGAAUUAGAGGUGCUUUUCUUUUUUCAAACCUUCCUUCAUUACCCGAGCCUCUCGUUUACUCAUUCCUUAACUUCACAUGCGUGAGCCUUUUGUGUUCCCAGCAGGCAGUUAGGGGGUCAAGGAAAAGUGUUGGGUUGUCCCAGGCUUUACAGGAUUACGGGAUCCCAGGCAAGAUCAUCAGAUAAAUGUAAAUUAAUGAAACAUGUGAAUUCAGAAGAAAUUGARCAGGACAUGGGUAGAAAAAUUCUGUAGGGCUACAUUACGAAGCUGCAUCCACAGUUACAAUUCCUGGGCAUUUUGUCUUUCAUAGAUGCACAGGUAAAUAUCCUGUGGAUAGGAACCUUUCUGGCUAUGUUCAGCUCGGGAACAGCMUAUCAGUUCCAUAUCAGUAAAGGAAAUUGUGUCCCUGUCAGCCAAUUUGACUGUAAAUGACAUGAAUGAAGGGAAAGAAGAAAAGGGGAGGACAAGGUAGUAUGUGUUAGGGAUGUAUGGGAGUAGCAGGAGAAAGGGAAACACUGACACAACUGAUUAUUGUGAUCAUGAAAAAAAGAGGCAAGUCCAAAAGGUGUUUGGUGUUUUGGGGGAUUUUCAUUGCAUGGCAAAGUAAAGAGUAGGUUACUUYAUUCUCCACUGCCCCAGUUUCAUUAAUUGCAUCCAUGACACCUGGAUGUGCUUAAAUUUAUGUGAGGGUGCAUUUGGUUCCAUGGUGCAUAUGGGUCUUUGCUCACCAAAAAUGCAAAGUGUGCAAAGGAUUAUUCUAGACGGGUGCCUGAGGAAGGCAUUACCUAUCUUAUAUAUUCUGUCCCCUCAAAUUAAUAUCCAGAGUUGUCUCAUGGCUAAGUUUGGAUUUUUUUCCUAAUCAUUUCCUGAGGCUUGCAGGUGUGUAUCUUCUAGGAUGUGCUCUGAAGGUUUCAGGAAAAGAGAAAGUGGUAAUCUUGGCUCAAACACCCAGGCAAUCCUGAACCUUCCCUUCCCUGCAUGACCUGUGUGGAGUCUCCCUGGCUGAAAAACUCCCCUUGGAAGUGGCACACUGAGACCUCUCCCCAGCCAGCCACAGAAUGGUCCUCGUGCUUGCUGCUGCCUUCUGAUUCAAUUACUCCUUUCAUUUGUUUGUGUGGGUGCCUUCUUUCAGCAGAGUGGAUGAUCUCCUGCAGCUGAGAUUCCCAUUCCACAUCACUGCAUUUACAGUCAACAGCGAGGAAAGGCAUGCUUUAAAUUCCCACAAGCUGAGACACUGGGAAGCUGAUUCUGGAUCAUGUCUCUCUUGGGYUGGUCUUAGACCUCUGGGACAUCAUAUAAAUAGCCAAUGCUUAUUCCUACUGCAUUUUCUAAGUUCCUAGCAGCUGGCAGUGGGUYGGAGUUGGUCAUCCUGACUGGAAAACUCUCCUCUUCCAUCCAGAAAAGGGCAGCUCAUUUUCUAAUGUGGGCUUCACCUUUUCCCUGUCCUUGGCACCUCCAGCAGCUGCAGAGGCAGUUUUCUAUUUGGUUUUGCUAAUCAUGUCCUGAGAUACCUUACUUUCUGUGCCCAUUGCACAGAGAGUUUGAGUGCCUGAACACAUCUGGAAUCAUGCACAGUGUAAGCAGGAGAGGUCCUGUCCCAUGCUGUGAGUAUCCCAGGUGGAUUGGGCUGCAUUGUCACSUAUCUCAGCCCACCAAACUCUGGGCUUCAGCAGCUGAGUGCCUGGUAUGCCCCUUUCCCUUCAAGGAUAUAYCUUUUGGGGUACAUACAUAUAUAUGUCCCUGGACAUAUAUCCCUGGUAUGUCCCUUYCCUCUAAAGAGGCCCAGCAGCACCAAGAGCAGGGUUCUGUACUCUGAAGUGCUCUGGCUUCCUGCAGUGCCUUGUGCUAUCGUCAGGCUGAGGGGCAGUUGGGACAUUAACCUCCCGCUCCAACAUCCUCCUUGUAAACAUCCCGUCCCGCUCAAGUCCUGUGCUGUCAUAUCCUCUCUGCUCUGCAGCAGACACYGUUCUGGGUAUAGUUCUAUAUGCAAAGCACACAGCUGGGCAUGCCAAAACUCAGGCAGGCAGCAGGACAGAACCUGGCAGUAACUUGGUUCAGCUGCCGAUAUAUCAGAAGUACUGCAGAGAGGGGGAGUUGUAUCUUUUUAAAACUUAACUAUAAUCAUCUGCUUGAGCCCUGCUUUGAAAGACAGUUCACUUCCCUAGGUGUGUGUAGCAGCUAUACCUUACUCCAAGCAGAUGCAAACCUGCGUAUAAGGCAUGAAAAACUCUGGUAAUAAUGGAAAGGCCCAGAACAGAGAGCUUGGAAACCGAAGCACACUAAGUUUACACAAGCAGCAAGUAAAACACCCAUCCCCGGUGAGUCAGUCCUGGCCGUUUCCUUCAUUUCCUCUAAGGCUUGCUGUGAACAUCCAGCGGUAACAACCCUUCUGAAACCCAGUCAUCUCCUUUCCUGCUCCUUGUUUACGCUUUUUCCUCAGCAGGGAGCAGAGUCCCAGCCUCCAGCACUGGAUUUUCACUGCAGCAGACAGAGAACUGCAGACGCUCCCCUGGCCUCAGCCCAGCUUUGGUAUUGCAGUGCCCUUGUUGCUUUUGUGGGUGCCAGCACCUUGAGCAGRUGCUGAGGUAAAAAAGGACAUUUCACUCCCUUUAAAAAAAAAAAUCUUGAAUGCAGCUAUAUGAUUGACAGGUUCUCUCUUCCGAAUCCAUGGCUUUGGAUUCGGUCUGUAGGACAGACAGGAUGCAGUGGGGUAUUACGUUGUUUUAAGAGUACAAACCAUCCUUCAGAGAUAAGGGUUGGAGCUUCCCUGCUUCAGAUUAAGGUGUAUCUCAUGCUGUAAUUUCCCCACAUGACAGCAGCUAGGGAGGAGGAGUAUUUUUAGCUUUUGUUUCUUGGUUUGUUUACAGGAAGUUCUUAAUUUGUGAGAGUGAGCUUUGGCCUGUCUUAGUCUGAGAAUCUGCUUCAGUGCCAGUUGUGGAUGCAGUUACAAAGGUGACUYCCGCUGCUGUCUGGCAGAGCCUUCAUUUAUCCCAGGUUGGAAAACCACUGUGCUUCAUACUAUUAAGAUGCCUUCAAAAUGACAGAAAGACACUAUGGAGGAAAAAACGUGAACUGGGGGAAUGAGUAGUCAGACAAAGAGGAAGAUAAUUGCUGGAUUGGAAUCUCAACCUUGCCCUUUACAUGCACCUCACACACUGAUGUUUCUCCUGCUUCCUCAGGAGUGAGAGAAAGCCUAAAGAGAGAGUAUCCAGSUAUUGAUAAUUUUCUCCUUUUCCUCUUUGAAAAGUCGUUACAGGACUUUUAAAAUAUUUCUAUUCCAUUUGCUAAAGCACGAACUUCAUCAGUCUUACUGAUGUACUUUUCUCAUAUAUGUGGGCAUUGAUGGCAAUAACAUAAGUUGUGGGGGAAGGGGGGUGACACUCAAAGGCCUCUGUAGAAAGGAUCCUGACAACAAACCAACCAAUUCUCUGCCAGAACAUCUAGAACACUUCAUUCUGCCUGUUUUAUUCAGAUUCAGGUAGGCUGCUUACCCUAUGGUCAUUUCUUCAGGCUUUCUGCUCCAACUGUGAACUUUAGAAGUGAAUUAUAGUAAGGGUAAGGUGGAAUAUGGACAGAGUCACACCAGUGCAGGUACUCUUAUUCUAGUCCAGAGCUGCUGAAAUAGUUGGAACCUCUACAAAAUUGAGCAUAGAGAGCAAAAUUGAAAGCAGCAUGGCGCCUUUGAGGGGCUUGCCAAAUAUUCCUCUGGUUCCAGCUGAAAGGGAGGAUGUGGCUGUGUAGGAGCUGCAUGUGUGCAGGUUAUUCCCCAUGUGGGCAGCUGCAGCACCGGAGUGUGGGCAGCCAGGUGGGAGGAUGACACUCAGCACCUUUCCCCUGUGCUCAAAACAGCUGCCUCUGCCCCAGCCCCAUCCUGCCCAUCCCUGCACACUCGGAAACCACUGUGCCAGGAAGUUGCUUCUUUCUAGCUGAGAUCCUCGUAUGAUAAUGUCCAAUUAAGUGUUGUUGCUUGUGGUGUAGGUCAGUAGUAAUGACUCAGACCAGCCCUUCACUUCCCUUCCUCUUGUUGGCUAGACACAAAAUCCAGCCCACAAAUUAAUCUGUCCAAUUCACCAGUAAAGAGGAUUCCCUGUUCAUUAAAAAAUUGCACAAGAAAGUCCUUAGUUUGUACUAAGGUCCUCUUGAAUUGCUGUGAAAUCAAGUACUUAAAAGUUCAGAAAUCCCAAAUUUCCCCUGCAUUCCAGAUGUAGUGUUUGGCGUUUUGUUUURGUCAUGGAUGGAUGGAAUUACAUGCAGUAAUGUAACUUUUAACGAGAUAAACAGUAAUUUUUCAUCAGCUUUGUUUUUGUAGAGGAGGAUAAACAAAGUCAAAWUGUGUCUGCAUGAGUCCUGGAGGUGAAGAUCUCUAAGCCUGGAUGUAUGAUAGUGUAGUGCCCCCUCAUGGGAAGCUGUUCCUGAUGCUGUUUCCUGGCUGCAYCCAGGGAGAGAACACCAGCAGAAGCAUCAUUCUGUUCGUUGUAGCUGCUCCUGUGUGUUGGUUGUUGUCACAUCAGCAGGUUUAGAGAGCAACUUCGCUUUUCCUCCUUCAGGUAGUUUGUGUUAAGGCUUGCUGUAAGGGUAAGUUCAAGAAAGAUACACCAUUUUAUUGUAGUUUCAGGUUUCUUUUUAAAUAAAACCCCUGUAAUUUUAGCACCCGUGGUGGCUUUCCUGAAGGCCCUAAAUUUGAGUCCUGUAAUUUAGAUAACAAAACUCAUAACAGAAAAAUGAGCACAUGUUCCUUAAUCACCUCCACAGUGCUGGCCUGUUUUAUACUGAGAGAGGAUUCCCUGUGCCCCUCACCCCCCUCAGUUCUGGAAAAAGCAGCCUUUCCUAUAGGAUGGAUUGUAAAGAUUGAYGUGAGCUUGCAGAGAAAUACAGCCAUACACACGGGGUGGGGAAGUAUUGUUUGUUUGGAGCUCUGGUGCUGUUGUUGGAAGGGCAGACUGAAGCAGGAUUGUUUCCUAUGAGCAAAGGCACAUUUUUCAUGAAUUGAGCUUUUGUCCUUAACACACAAAAAGGGCCUUUUUUUGUGAUUCACACUGUGUGAUAUUUUUAGUUUUCUUUGCAUUUAGUUAAGAACAGCACAAGAAUAAUACUGCAAAUAACCCAUARAAGUAGAGUGACCCUAUAAAAAGAGUGGUGUUUCUGCCUCAGGAAAAAGCUUGCUGUUGUACUUUGGAGGCUCAGAUUGUAAAGUGGCUGUGGUAGGGGCCACAUCCUUGUCCUGUGGUCAACAUGCAUUUGUCACAGACUCUUUUUCCUCUUCUGAAAUUUUCACACCUCCUGAGACACAGUGAGUUGCAAUCCCCAAGGAAUCUGAGAGAAUAAAGRAACAAAGACCAAAAGGAUGUUUAAAAGUUACCUUGUCACAACUGUAAGCUGAUGGUUGAUGUUCCAUUCCUUGGACCUCCCUCUCCCUUGUUAGUAAUUCUCAAAAAACCCACAUGACCUCCCAAGGCCCAUCASCUUAGUAGAGUACUCACAUCCACCUCCUGCUACCCCUGGGCCCUGGAGCAUUGUCAGGUUGUUCUCUGUAGUGUUUGGGGUUGUGCCUCWUAUUCCCUGCAGGAUUCCAAGCAGUGGCUUGGAUAUCUUUGCCUUUGUCCCASCUCUGGUGCUGGAGUGCCUUCCUGGCAGGGCUCACAGUGAACACAUUCCAUUUCAGGGGUUGAUUUCUUGCUGAGGUGCUUUCAUUGAUGCUGAGGAAGGAAGGGAUGAAUCCUGACUCCAGCUCUUCCCACAAGGAGCAAACAGAUCAGGCUUUUCUCUGGUGUCAACCAGCUGAUCCCGAAUCAGGUCAAAAUUCCCAUCUAAACCCUUUCCAUGUAUAUGCCACAUGGGACUAUGCCUAGAUUAUUUCAUCUUAGAUACCCAGUCAACAACUCAGAAAAGCCCUAACUCUGUCCUUUAUGUACUCCAUCAAAUAAGAUGUCCUAGUGGCCUUAAUUACUCCCAAUGAACUGGGAAGGUCUAAAUGUCUCCCUGUCUUAGGAGUGUUCUCUGCAGUGGAUCCUAUAAGAACCGYAUGGUCUGGAUUUUUUUCCAGUGCCUGGGGUAUCUUAUGCCCCUAUAUUGUCAGAUGGUGGAAAGAUGACUCUAUAAUAUUGCUGUGGGACUGGUCCAGCCCACAAAGAUUUCAACAGGACUAAAAGUACUCCAAAGAAUAUAAAGUGGCUGCUGCUUCGCUUCAUGGGAGCAGGACAUAACAGAGGAGAAAGGCUGAUUGCAGGAAGGAGGUGCCAUGUGACAGAAAUAGCACUAAAAAGUCUUGCCAGCAUUUACCUGCUCAACAACUGCAAGGCAGUUUCUUUGAGAGGAAAGAUGAAAGUUUUCUAUYCAAAUAAGAGCUUGAAUUUAAAUGCCUGCAUUGAAAUCAGGAUUUGUAAAUCUGUAGUAGCUUUGUUAUGCAAAUGCUAAACGUUUUACUCAUCACCCAUAUGUUUAAUGAUCCAUGUGACAUGCAUGGAUGGUUUUUAGUUUAUUUUUGAAAAGGGUAGAUGGAUUUUUGCUUUCCAAAGGCUGAGGGAUAGCUUGGCAAUCAGUCCUCUACUGAGAGAGUGUGGCGAUGUCUGGUUAACUUGUGGUGCAGGGGUUUUCACAACCUCCUAGAUAACAUUUUCCAGCUCUGGCUUGCUCAGGGAAAGUUUCUCCAACAUCUAGUGGGUUUGUUUUUCUUUUCUCCUGUCUUCUUUUCUUUCCUGGAAAUUAAGUUGGUUAGAUCUUACCUCUGUCCUAGCAGUGUAAUCGCUGCCUCUCAAUAGCAACSUCUCAUGCACUGCAACUGCACUAUCGUGUCCUGCCCUAUUUCCAGCUUUCUCCUCUAGACUCAAUAAACGCAGUUCCCUGGUUUCUUCCCAGAGGUUGUUUUGCAAACCUCUUAUCACUGCRGAUGUGCUCCCACACCCACCCUGGAGCAGCCUGGCUGUUUGCUGUUCCCUGUCCAAUGUCAGUGGURGCUUCUUGCUGCACUCCAGCCAUGUAUUGCUGCACCCCCUUCCAUGCUCCCAGUGCUUUCCACAGUGGAGUUGGCCAGGAUUCCUGCGUGGGUGUGGGGGGCCCUGCCGAGCCAGGUGCUGGGAGCAGGUGCCAGGCCCCCAGGCUCUGCCAAGUGCAGGAACCAGCAUGUGCAGCUCACUCCCUGCAUCCCAGCCCUGCAAAGAAACCAGAGUCCCCACAGAACUUCCCGGCUUUGUCCUCAAUUCCCAGGUUCAGGAAAGGCACCAACACUCUCCUCAGGAGCUUCCAGAUCACAGAAUCAAAGAAUGGUUUGGGUUGGAAGGGACCUUAAAGCUCAUCUCAUUCCAACCCCUUACCAUGGGCAGGGACACCUUCCACUAGGCCAGRCUGCUCCAAGCCCCCUCCAAWCUGUCUUUGAACACUCCCAGGAWGGGGCAGCCUCUGUGCCAGGGCAUCACCACUUUCAGAGUAAAGAAUUUCUUCCUGAUACCUAAUGUAAACCUAUUCUCUGUCAGUUUGAAGCCAUUCCCCCUUGUGCUGUCACUCCAGGCCCUUGUAAAUUGUCCCCAUCUUUCUUGUAAGACCCUUCUACAUAUUGAAAUGCCUCCUAAGGUCUCCCUGGAGCCUUCUCCAGGCUGAACAACCCCAGCUCUCUACACCUGUCCUCAUAGGAGAAGUUAAUUAAUUUCUGACUGAUUUCUGCUAAUCUGCUUUGGAGAGGCUCUUAGGCAGAAGAAGUUCCCAUUUUCUAAGAAGUGUGCUCAUUUCAGAAACUCCUAAGGAGGAAGGGCUGCCAAAGAACARGUGUAAGUCCUCUCCUUCAUUUCAGGAGCACCAGCUUCCAGGAUCUGUUGGAGUUAUGUAACCCCCUUGUAUCAGCUACUUCAGUGUCCAGCAGGGGAAGUCCUGGUCAUGCACAGUGUUACAGAAACAAAUCCUUCUAGUCUAAAGACCCCAAACAGUAUAUAGAGCACUCAUUAUUGCCAGUAUUCUGAUUAAUACUUUAUUAUAAAAUGGGCACCUUCUGCUGUCAUUUAUUUCACUUUCUUCCCAACACCCCUUUCUCCCAAAUCAUCCUUAUAUCCUUCCUGAGUUCCCAGCAGAUUCAGUUUUCAAACCAAAUAUUUUGUCCUGCUGCCUGGACAAGAUGUUGCAUUAAAUGCCAAAGAGGAUGGACAAGGCAGUCUCUCCCUGCUGAUCCUCCCAUGGGAAUGCCAGUAAGAGCUCUCUGCUGCACCUGGCCACUGAUCCCUGGUUAUAGGAGCACUGAUCCCUGGAUACAGGAACCUUCUCAUCUCUUGAUUCCUCUACCUGUUUGUAUUUGAUUGAAAUGAGCCAGUUGGUUCCUAAUUGGGGGAUGACAGUGGGAUAAAAAGAAUCUUACUUCCUCCAGAAACUAGAGGAAAAAUCCCUCCCCGAGCCUGUCAAAAGCAUACCAUGAAAUUAACCUCCAAAUCUACAAAUACGUACUUAAUAACAUCAAAGAGAGCUUCUGAACUGUCUUUGAUUUUGAAACUUCUGGGRAGAAAUGUUAGGUGGUGAUUCAUCUGACUUGUUUUAGGUGUCUGCCUUAGGAAUAGAUGAGUCAUGYCCUAGAAGUGCUGCUUCAAUAUUUGAAAAAGGGGCUUCUCUUAUUUUGUUUGAUGACCUAUUCUCAGUCUGUUAUUACUUAUAAUAUUUUAAAACUAUUAAAAUUUUKAAUGCAGAGUUAAUCUUCGCUCAGGAUGAGGAUGGGCUGAUAAUGUAUCUUUCUGUGAGAACCACGGUUUCAUAAAAUCAGUUUCACUCCUGUGAUUUUGCAGUUUGUCUUCUGGAAGGGAUGUGUGGAGUAGACACAGUGAAGUUGUAAGACCAAAGAAGACAGAAGCCUAGAGGGGAAAAAGGUGAGCAAGUCAGAAUCUGAAACAACACAGUCAGGAAACACAGGUGAUGUGGUUUCUCUAAAAAGCUUGUUUGUUCAGUUGGAGGGAAAGGGAAUUGUGUAUACRCAGCUGUAGUUUUAGUAACUGUAUAUAAAUAAAGGAAGAUUGUACACACUAUCUAAUAUCAUUGUAUUAGAUUUUACAUAAUACCAGGAUAUACUGUUACAGAUUUUAUAUGUGUGUGUGUGUACUGUUGUAGACUCCAAAUCUAUGUGCAGAACACCUUGACAGAAACGUCCUGUGUAUGGGAAGUGGAAAGUGAUGGAAUAAAUAACUUUCUCUUACAUCCAGUGAUCCAGCUUUUUAAAGUUGCUGAGACAACUAACCCUUCACUAUAGCUAAGAAACACUUGAAGAUGGCUCCUCACUUCAGGGAUGGUCCUCUAAUUCCCCUAACGCAAAGAUGAACUCAGUGGGAUGUAGACCUGAGCUCUAAUUGAUAUUCCUGUGGUUGUCUGCCAACCCUAGGCCAGGUUUAGAUGUUCUUCAGAAUCUUUCAUUUGUGWUUGGUCUUCCCUUCCCUUGAGCUGCAUUCGGUGUCCUUUUGCAUAUAUAGGAUCUUAUGAAAGCGGUAUUUAAAAGCAGAAAUGUGUUCAUAAACUUUACUUAUGAAAAGGGUGGUAGACUGAGGUAUAAAAUUAAUCUAAUUGGGCAGAAGACAGAACUUCAUUUACAGCAGAUGAACACACUGUUAUUUAAAGUAAGCAGCAUCCUAGCUAUUCAUGGAAUGGCAUUUGUCUUCAAUAAAUAUUUUACAUAAUACAUGCAAGUUAUUCAUGGAAUGGCAUUCAUUUUUCAUAGAAGUUUUAUGUAAUGCUGACCCCUUGGGACUCACAGGAAUAAAGAUUUGAUAAAAACAUGGUCUCUUACGUUCCA
Long non-coding RNA from Malurus melanocephalus (red-backed fairy wren), 10269 nucleotides. RefSeq lists it as uncharacterized. The transcript is spliced from 3 exons. Lineage: Eukaryota; Metazoa; Chordata; Aves; Passeriformes; Maluridae. The record is from RefSeq and is a predicted model, not a curated record.